This 675-nucleotide ribosomal RNA is filed under the name Megalops cyprinoides (Indo-Pacific tarpon). RNAcentral's name for it is "12S rRNA". It matches the Rfam family "Bacterial small subunit ribosomal RNA", at positions 92 to 1325 of the family's 1533-position model. The record is from RNAcentral. Lineage: Eukaryota; Metazoa; Chordata; Actinopteri; Elopiformes; Megalopidae.
GAGCCGGCAUCAGGCACGCAUACGCAGCCCAAGACGCCUUGUUCAGCCACACCCCCAAGGGAACUCAGCAGUGAUAAACAUUAGGCAAUUAGUGAAAACUAGACCUAGCUAAAGUUACAAGGACUGGUAAAUCUCGUGCCAGCCACCGCGGUUAUACGAGAGGUCCAAAUUGACAGCCAUCGGCGUAAAGAGUGGUUAUAGACCCCUACACAACUAAAGCCAAAACUCCUCCCAGCUGUCAUACGCACCCGAAGACAAGAGGCCCAACCACGAAAGUAGCUUUAAUCACAAACCCCUAGAACCCACGACAGCCAGGACACAAACUGGGAUUAGAUACCCCACUAUGCCUGGCCUUAAACCCUGAUAGCAAGAUACAAAUACUAUCCGCCCGGGAACUACAAGCGCUAGCUUUAAACCCAAAGGACUUGGCGGUGCCCCAAACCCACCUAGAGGAGCCUGUUCUAUAACCGAUAACCCCCGUUAAACCUCACCGCUUCUAGCCAACCCCGCCUAUAUACCGCCGUCGCCAGCUUACCCUAUGAAGGUCCAACAGUAAGCCCAAAGAGCAUAACUCAAAACGUCAGGUCGAGGUGUAGCGCACGAAGCGGGAAGAAAUGGGCUACAUUUUCUAACCCUAGAACAUUGCGAACGACACAGUGAAACCUGAGUCCAAAG